Molecule: non-coding RNA, 441 nt
Organism: Callithrix jacchus (white-tufted-ear marmoset)
Lineage: Eukaryota; Metazoa; Chordata; Mammalia; Primates; Cebidae
Source: RefSeq, a predicted model, not a curated record
AUGACUCGCGGUAAUCAGUGAGAGCUCACCCACCAGAGGACUAAAAAAGCAGAGAGACUAGGUUACGGGAAAGUGUCGAGAUGACGGGCUUUUUGCUGCCGCCUGCAAGCAGAGGACUCCAAGAUCAUUCAGCAGAAGCAGAAAAAGACAAAUGAGUAGGAGGAGGAAUCCAAGUAGCUUUGUGGCUUCGUGUCCAAUCCUCUUGCCCUUCACCUGUGUGCUUGGACCAGUUCUACCAUGCUUGUGUUUCCUCCUGCAUUGCUCACAGGUCCCAGCACCUAUGGCAUUCCCUUUGCCCUGAGUCUGCAGCGGGUCCCUUUUGAGCUUCCUUCCCCUCAGGUAGCCUCUCUCACCCAGGGCCACUCCCGGGGAUGAGGGGGUUACCCCUUCCCAGUGUUUUUAUUCCUGUGAGGCUCACCCCAAAGUAUUAAAAGUAGCUUU